GCCGGUGUGGUGAAAUUGGUAGACACGCUGUCUUGAGGUGGCAGUGGCUAAUGCCGUGCCGGUUCAAAUCCGGCCACCGGUA
This 82-nucleotide transfer RNA is filed under the name Candidatus Azoamicus ciliaticola. It matches the Rfam family "tRNA". Rfam says of the family: Transfer RNA (tRNA) molecules are approximately 80 nucleotides in length. Their secondary structure includes four short double-helical elements and three loops (D, anti-codon, and T loops). Further hydrogen bonds mediate the characteristic L-shaped molecular structure. tRNAs have two regions of fundamental functional importance: the anti-codon, which is responsible for specific mRNA codon recognition, and the 3' end, to which the tRNAs corresponding amino acid is attached (by aminoacyl-tRNA synthetases). tRNAs cope with the degeneracy of the genetic code in two manners: having more than one tRNA (with a specific anti-codon) for a particular amino acid; and 'wobble' base-pairing, i.e. permitting non-standard base-pairing at the 3rd anti-codon position. Lineage: Bacteria; Pseudomonadati; Pseudomonadota; Gammaproteobacteria; Candidatus Azoamicaceae. The record is from Rfam by way of RNAcentral.